Molecule: long non-coding RNA, 1138 nt
Organism: Amphiprion ocellaris (clown anemonefish)
Lineage: Eukaryota; Metazoa; Chordata; Actinopteri; Pomacentridae
Source: Ensembl
AAAAAAGACUAAGUGUGAGGAAAAAGAACAAAGUGUGAGAAAAGGAGAAAAAGAACAAAGUGUGAAAAUAGCAAAGUGUGAGAAAAGAGGAAAAACAACAAAGUGUGAGGAAAGAGGAAAAAGAACAAAGUAUGGAAAAAGAACAAAGUGUGAAAAUAGCAGUGUGAGGAAAGAGGAAAAAGAACAAAGUGUGAGGAAAGAGGAAAAAGAGCAAAGUGUGAAAAAAGAACAAAGUGUGAAAAUAGCAAAGUGUGAGGAAAGACGAAAAAGAACAAAGUGUGAAAAUAGCAAAGUGUGAAAAAAGAGGAAAAAGAACAAAGUGUGAAAAUAGCAAAGUGAGAAAAGAGGAAAAAUAGCAAAGUGUGAAAAAAGAGGAAAAAGAACAAAGUGUGAGGAAAGAGGAAAAAGAACAAAGUGUGAAAAUAGCAAAGUGAGAAAAGAGGAAAAAUAGCAAAGUGUGAAAAAAGAGGAAAAAGAACAAAGUGUGAAAAUAGCAAAGUGUGAGAAAAGAGGAAAAAGAACAAAGUGUGAAAAUAGCAAAGUGUGAGAAAAGAGGAAAAAGAACAAAGUGUGAAAAUAGCAAAGUGUGAAAAAAAGAGGAAGAAGAACAAAGUGUGAAAAUAGCAAAGUGUGAAAAAAAGAGGAAAAAGAACAAAGUGUGAAAAUAGCAAAGUGUGAGAAAAGAGGAAAAAGAACAAAGUGUGAGGAAAGAGGAAAAAGAACAAAUGUGAAAAAAAGAGGAAAAAGAACAAAGUGUGAAAAUAGCAAAGUGUGAGAAAAGAGGAAAAAGAACAAAGUGUGAAAAUAGCAAAGUGUGAGAAAAGAGGAAAAAGAACAAAGUGUGAGGAAAGAGGAAAAAGAACAAAGUGUGAAAAUAGCAAAGUGUGAAAAAAGAGGAAAAAGAACAAAGUGUGAAAAUAGCAAAGUGUGAGAAAAGAGGAAAAAGAACAAAGUGUGAGGAAAUAGCAAAGUGUGAGGAAAGAGGAAAAAGAACAAAGUGUGAAAAUAGCAAAGUGUGAAAAAAGAGGAAAAAGAACAAAGUGUGAAAAUAGCAAAGUGUGGGAAAAUAGCAAAGUGUGAGGAAAGAGGAAAAAGAACAAAGUGUGAAAAUAGCAAAGUGUGAAAAAAGAGGAAAAAG